Molecule: ribosomal RNA, 301 nt
Filed under: uncultured bacterium
Lineage: Bacteria
Description: partial 16S ribosomal RNA
Rfam family: Bacterial small subunit ribosomal RNA
Source: RNAcentral
CAGCCGCCGCGGGAAUACGUAGGUGGCAAGCGUUGUCCGGAAUUAUCGGGCGUAAAGGGCUCGCAGGCGGUUUCUUAAGUCUGAUGUGAAAGCCCCCGGCUCAACCGGGGAGGGUCAUUGGAAACUGGGAAACUUGAGUGCAGAAGAGGAGAGUGGAAUUCCACGUGUAGCGGUGAAAUGCGUAGAGAUGUGGAGGAACACCAGUGGCGAAGGCGACUCUCUGGUCUGUAACUGACGCUGAGGAGCGAAAGCGUGGGGAGCGAACAGGAUUAGAUACCCCCGUAGUCCCUGUCUCUUAUAC